RNAcentral lists this ribosomal RNA (297 nucleotides) under uncultured eukaryote. RNAcentral's name for it is "partial large subunit ribosomal RNA". It matches the Rfam family "Eukaryotic large subunit ribosomal RNA", at positions 40 to 350 of the family's 3401-position model. The record is from RNAcentral.
AUAUCAAUAAGCGGAGGAAAAGAAACUAACAAGGAUUCCCCCAGUAACGGCGAGUGAAGCGGGAAAAGCUCAGACUGAAAAUCCUCGGAGUUGUAGUCUGGAGAGGUCAUGAUUGCAAGGCACUCGGGUCAAGUCUCCUGGAACGGAGCGCCAAGGAGGGUGACAGCCCCGUUCACGCCCAUGUGCCGAGCUCCCAUCAGCCUUCUACGAGUCGAGUUGUUUGGGAUUGCAGCUCUAAGUGGGUGGUAAAUUCCAUCUAAAGCUAAAUACCUGUGGGAGACCGAUAGCGCACAAGUA